CAGCACCUCAAGUGGUCUGGAUGAUUAUUGGGCCUAAAGCAUCCGUAGCCGGCGCUGUAAGUUUUCGGUUAAAUCUGUACGCUCAACGUACAGGCUGCCGGGAAUACUGCAGCGCUAGGGAGUGGGAGAGGUAGACGGUACUCGGUAGGAAGGGGUAAAAUCCUUUGAUCUAUUGAUGACCACCUGUGGCGAAGGCGGUCUACCAGAACACGUCCGACGGUGAGGGAUGAAAGCUGGGGGAGCAAACCGGAUUAGAGACCCGAGUAGUCC
Molecule: ribosomal RNA, 270 nt
Filed under: uncultured archaeon
Lineage: Archaea
Description: partial 16S ribosomal RNA
Rfam family: Archaeal small subunit ribosomal RNA
Source: RNAcentral